AGUGAACGCUGGCGGUAGGCCUAACACAUGCAAGUCGAACGGCAGCACAGGAGGGCUUGCUCUCUGGGUGGCGAGUGGCGGACGGGUGAGGAAUACAUCGGAAUCUACUCUGUCGUGGGGGAUAACGUAGGGAAACUUACGCUAAUACCGCAUACGACCUACGGGUGAAAGCAGGGGACCUUCGGGCCUUGCGCGAUUGAAUAAGCCGAUGUCGGAUUAGCUAGUUGGCGGGGUAAAGGCCCACCAAGGCGACGAUCCGUAGCUGGUCUGAGAGGAUGAUCAGCCACACUGGAACUGAGACACGGUCCAGACUCCUACGGGAGGCAGCAGUGGGGAAUAUUGGACAAUGGGCGCAAGCCUGAUCCAGCCAUACCGCGUGGGUGAAGAAGGCCUUCGGGUUGUAAAGCCCUUUUGUUGGGAAAGAAAUCCAGCUGGCUAAUACCCGGUUGGGAUGACGGUACCCAAAGAAUAAGCACCGGCUAACUUCGUGCCAGCCGCCGCAGUAA
RNAcentral lists this ribosomal RNA (506 nucleotides) under uncultured bacterium. RNAcentral's name for it is "partial 16S ribosomal RNA". It matches the Rfam family "Bacterial small subunit ribosomal RNA", at positions 29 to 523 of the family's 1533-position model. The record is from RNAcentral.